Transfer RNA from Streptomyces lincolnensis, 104 nucleotides. It matches the Rfam family "tRNA". From Rfam's summary of the family: Transfer RNA (tRNA) molecules are approximately 80 nucleotides in length. NCBI's taxonomy places the organism in Bacteria, Bacillati, Actinomycetota, Actinomycetes, Kitasatosporales, Streptomycetaceae. The record is from Rfam.
GGAGGAUUGGCCGAGUGGUAAGGCACUGGCUUGCACUGUGUUUGAUCAAAGGCAGCCAAGGUCGGGUGUGAAAGCCCGCGCACGUUCGAUUCGUGCAUCCUCCG